CGGAGUGUAGCGCAGCCUGGUAGCGCACUUGCAUGGGGUGCAAGGGGUCGCAGGUUCAAAUCCUGUCUCUCCGACCA
RNAcentral lists this transfer RNA (77 nucleotides) under Cardiobacterium hominis. RNAcentral describes it as "tRNA-Pro(ggg)". It matches the Rfam family "tRNA". Rfam says of the family: Transfer RNA (tRNA) molecules are approximately 80 nucleotides in length. Their secondary structure includes four short double-helical elements and three loops (D, anti-codon, and T loops). RNAcentral also lists the same sequence under 4 other names. The record is from RNAcentral. Lineage: Bacteria; Pseudomonadati; Pseudomonadota; Gammaproteobacteria; Cardiobacteriales; Cardiobacteriaceae.